CAUCGCCAAUGGAGGCGCAGUAUGUAAGCCUCUUGGAAAAGAGCAUCAACGAGGGUGAGAGUCCCGUUUGUCAUCUGCAGUCCCCCAUGCACGGCAUGCCUUCUAAGAGUCGCGUUCCUCGGAAUUGGAGCGUAAAUUGGGUGGUAAAUUUCAUCUCAAGCUAAAUAUUGGUUCGAGACCGAUAGCAAACAAGUACCAUGAGGGAAAGGUGAAAAGGACUUUGAAAAGAGAGUUAAAAGUGCCUGAAAUUGCUGAAAGGGAAGCGAAUGGAACCAGUGUUGCUUGGCGUAGAUUGUCGUACGCAUUCGCGUGUGGUGGUUCUUGCCUUGUGUGUCAACGCCAGUUCGCGUAUCGAGGGAAAACUCCAGGGACAUGGUAGCCUGUCUCCGGGUGGGUGAAUGUGCUUGGUAGAACUCAUUUGCGGACUGAUUCCUUUCGUGUCUGGUUGCAGUGCUGCUUGAUCUUGUGUUGGUACCUUGGUGAAUAGGGCUCUGUGCC
Molecule: ribosomal RNA, 498 nt
Filed under: Prorocentrum micans
Lineage: Eukaryota; Dinophyceae; Prorocentrales; Prorocentraceae
Description: LSU rRNA
Rfam family: Eukaryotic large subunit ribosomal RNA
Source: RNAcentral